Nicotiana attenuata is the source of this 537-nucleotide long non-coding RNA. RefSeq lists it as uncharacterized. The record is from RefSeq and is a predicted model, not a curated record. Lineage: Eukaryota; Viridiplantae; Streptophyta; Magnoliopsida; Solanales; Solanaceae. The transcript is spliced from 2 exons.
GAAAAAAUAACAAAAAUUGUAAUUUCUUGGAUCCUCCAAGGGGAGACAGGAUAAACUCCGAUGUAGAAAUAAAAAUCUCCCAAUUUUUAUCUCUACGAAGGCUUUCGCUUUACUCUUCUGUCUUUCGAUCUGAAAACAACAAGAAACGUGCUAAAAACCAUAGAAGAGUUCAAUAAUUCAUUGAAUUCAAGGAGAAUGAAUUUUGUGAUGUUAUGAAACCAUACAGGUGAUGGUUAUGAAUGUCGUGACUGAAGAUAUUGAGGAUCUGCGAAAACUUCUCUAUUUGCAUGUCUUCUCCUUUUCCUAUGUGGGCUCUUUAGCCCUCUAACACUCUCAGUAUUGGUAUUUGAUUGUGUAAAUUGCAUUUUCUUGUAGAGUAUAAGGCACUAUUAUAUUGUUUAUCUGAUCAGUACGAUUGGAAAAUUGCCCUUGUGAGAAAAGACAUCCACUUGCGCAUGUUGAAGUCUUUGAGAUUUAGCACUAUCUUCUAAUAUUGUACUUCAUCAAUAUUUAAAAAGCAAGAACUGUUUUCAGUUG